CUAAAUUUCACUCGACUCCGACGGUAUCAGAAUAUCGUCGAUAGAGAUUAGAAUCUUGUCCUCUCUUAUGAGUGACUGCAACACCUGCACGAUAUACUUUUGGAAUUCGGCCAGUGAUUCCGAGAAUCCUACUAAUAAGCGCGUAUAUUCAUAUUGUGCAUCGGAUGUGGCAAACAGGAAGUAUUUUGUUGAAUUGGGAUGUACUUGUAUCUGGUGAAAACCAGAUCUUUAAGAUCUAACAAAAUAUAAUUCUGGCGCAGUAAGGCGAAUUAAUCUGAAUAAUUCAAUGAUCUAAUAAAGCAUCCGUUAUUUGCCUAACUUGCUUGCGUUCCUGUAAUGCAAAUCUUCUUGGUGCAUACAUAAACCGAAUCAUCCUGGCUACAUAGCUGAAAAUUAUCCAGUGACGGCGGCAGCACCACGGCGGCGGUAGUCUACUGAGACAGCACCGUGCUUCCCGACGGCGACGAAGCUGAGGAAUACUUCCCGAAUUGACACUGACAGAGCCAAAUUGCUACAACUCUUUCGACCGAGAAUGAUGAUUGCGACAGCGGAAUAAGAGUUCACCACGAACGUUCGCCUCUCCUCUUUGAGGGCAAUCAGCAGAUUUUUGUUCGUGAGCGGAAACUAGCAAAUUCGAAUCACGAGGGAAACUUACGGAUCUUUGAUCUCACUUCUGAAAAACUGUAAGGGAUAAGCGGGCAAGCUAAUUCCAUAUCCUUAUCAGGAUG
Long non-coding RNA from Acromyrmex echinatior (Panamanian leafcutter ant), 728 nucleotides. The record is from RefSeq and is a predicted model, not a curated record. NCBI's taxonomy places the organism in Eukaryota, Metazoa, Arthropoda, Insecta, Hymenoptera, Formicidae.